UGGGGAAUCUUGCCCAAUGGGCGAAAGCCUGAGGCAGCAACGCCGCGUGUGGGAUGACGGCCCUCGGGUUGUAAACCACUUUCAGUAGGGACGAAAUUGACGGUACCUACAGAAGAAGCUCCGGCCAACUACGUGCCAGCAGCCGCGGUAAUACGUAGGGAGCGAGCGUUGUCCGGAUUUAUUGGGCGUAAAGCGCGCGUAGGCGGUUUGGUAAGCCGGGUGUGAAACCCUCGAGCUCAACUCGGGGCGGCCACUCGGAACUGUCAUGACUCGAGUCAGGUAGGGGAACACGGAAUUCCAGGUGUAGCGGUGAAAUGCUUAGAUAUCUGGAGGAACACCAGUGGCGAAGGCGGUGUUCUGGGCCUGUACUGACACUGAUGCGCGAAAGCGUGGGGAGCGAACAGGAUUAGAUACC
This 415-nucleotide ribosomal RNA is filed under the name uncultured bacterium. RNAcentral describes it as "bacterial SSU rRNA". It matches the Rfam family "Bacterial small subunit ribosomal RNA", at positions 355 to 786 of the family's 1533-position model. The record is from RNAcentral.